UCUGAAUCCUCGGGAUCUGAAUCCUCGGGAUCUGAACCCUUGGGAUCUGAAUCCUUGGGAUCUGAACCCUUGGGAUCUGAAUCCUUGGGAUCUGAAUCCUUGGGAUCUGAGCCCUCGGGAUCUGAAUCCUCGGGAUCUGAAUCCUUGGGAUCUGAACCCUCGGGAUCUGAACCCUCGGGAUCUGAAUCCUUGGGAUCUGAAUCCUCGGGAUCUGAGCCCUUGGGAUCUGAAUCCUCCGGAUCUGAAUCCUCCGGAUCUGAACCCUCGGGGUCUGAGCCCUCGGGAUCUGAAUCCUCGGGAUCUGAAUCCUCCGGAUCUGAGCCCUCGGGAUCUGAGCCCUCGGGAUCUGAGCCCUCGGGAUCUGAACCCUUGGGAUCUGAAUCCUUGGGAUCUGAACCCUCGGGAUCUGAACCCUCGGGAUCUGAAUCCUUGGGAUCUGAACCCUUGGGAUCUGAAUCCUUGGGAUCUGAACCUUCAGGAUCUGAUCCCUCUGGAUCUGAGCCCUCGGGAUCUGAGCCCUCUGGAUCUGAGCCCCCCUGGAAUUCCGAUGGAAACGCCCGGAAUUCUGGUGCAAACCCCCCCAGUGACCCUCCCUGGAAGGUUUUUCUCCCCCUGGACUUGCCCAGGAAAAGGGGAUUUGGGGGUGGGAAGGUCUGGAAUCAGGUCUGGAAUCAGGUCUGGAAUCACCAUCUCCUUAAGGGACUCAGAGUUAAUUGGUCCAACUAAUUGUGGAUUCCCAACUCACUGUGGAUUCCCAAUUGUGGAUUCCCAAUUAAAAUCUCCAUUUCUGGCCCUGCUGGGGUUGUUUCCCAGGGGAAAGAGGGUGGGUUUUUUGCUGGAAAAAGGUUUUUUUCCUGGAGAAAAGGUGAAUCCCAGAGGGAGGAGGAGGAUGGGGGGGUGAGGCCCCGCUGGGAGCAGCUCCAGGUUCUCCCUCCGCUGCUUUUCCAUUUAAUUCCCAAUUCCAGGAGCUCCUGGAAGCCCCUUGUGCUGCUCUUCUCUCCCUGGAAAUCCCACGGGGGCGGAUUUUGGGGCAAAACCGGGCAAAUUUGGGGGCUGGGGAGGGAACACCCCCCGGGCAUUCCGGGCUGGGGCCGGGAUUUCCCCAAAAAUCCCUGUUUUCUCCCCAAACAUCCCCACAAAGGCCUUGGUGGUGUUGGCUCAUCCCAACUGUCUCAUCCCCCUCCCUCUCCUGCUCUUUGCCCAAUUCCAGAGCUUUUCACCCCAAAUGCCUUUUUUUCCCAACACCAUCCAAACCCCUUUUCCCUGAUUUUUUUCCCACCAUUCCCAGUUUUGUUUUCCCUUUUUGCACCUGCAGGGGGAGGGGGGAAAAGCCCCUUUUUCUCCCCGUUUUCCACUCGGAUUCUCCUCCUCCAGCCUCGGUUUUCCUUGGAAAAAACAACGAUUUUGGUUAAAACAGCAGCGGGAUGAGCUGGGGCUGCAUCCCGGGGGGGGUUGAGGGGAAUUUCGGGACAAUCUGGGGGGGAUUUGGGGAAUUCGGGCUCCAACCCUCAAACCUGCAGCAGGAGGGGCCUCGUUUGCUGCUUUAAUUACCUCCCCCGGGAUCACCAAAUUUGGGAUUUCAAGGAACCAAAUUUAGGAUUUUAACAAACCAAAUUCGAGAUUUCAAGGAACCAAAUUCGGGAUUUCAACAAACCAAAUUUGGGAUUUCAACGAACAAAAUUUGGGAUGUCAAGGAACCAAAUUUGGGAUUUCAAUGAACCAAAUUCGGGAUUUUAACGAACCAAAUUCGGGAUUUCAAGGAACCAGAUUUAGGAUUUUAAGGAACCAAACUUAGGAUUUUAACGAACCAAAUUUAGGAUUUUAACGAACCAAAUUCGGGAUUUCAACGAACCAAAUUCGGGAUUUCAAUGAACCAAAUUCGGGAUUUCACCGGAUUUCAC
Molecule: long non-coding RNA, 1901 nt
Filed under: Manacus vitellinus (golden-collared manakin)
Lineage: Eukaryota; Metazoa; Chordata; Aves; Passeriformes; Pipridae
Description: lncRNA (ENSMVIG00005000938.1)
Source: RNAcentral